GACGAACGCUGGCGGCGUGCUUAACACAUGCAAGUCGAACGGAAAGGCCCUGCUUUUGUGGGGUGCUCGAGUGGCGAACGGGUGAGUAACACGUGAGUAACCUGCCCUUGACUUUGGGAUAACUUCAGGAAACUGGGGCUAAUACCGGAUAGGAGCUCCUGCUGCAUGGUGGGGGUUGGAAAGUUUCGGCGGUUGGGGAUGGACUCGCGGCUUAUCAGCUUGUUGGUGGGGUAGUGGCUUACCUAGGCUUUGACGGGUAGCCGGCCUGAGAGGGUGACCGGCCACAUGGGGAUGGAUAUCGGCCCCAGCCUCCAGCGGGGGGAGGAGGGGGGGAAUAUGCAACAAGGGGGGGAACCCUAAUGCAGCACCGCGGGGUGGGGAAGGGCGGCCGUCGGUUGUUAAACCGCUUUCGCCUGUGAGGAGGGGGGGGGGAGGGGAGGGGGUAAAAAAGCCCGGUCAAACUCGGUC
Molecule: ribosomal RNA, 468 nt
Filed under: uncultured bacterium
Lineage: Bacteria
Description: partial 16S ribosomal RNA
Rfam family: Bacterial small subunit ribosomal RNA
Source: RNAcentral